UUUGUGUCAUAAUUGUUUUUUGAGUAAUUGAGUUUUUGAUUCAUUGUUAGUUUUGUCAUAAUUUGAGUUUGUGUCAUAAUUGUGAGUUUUUGCGUCAUAAUUGAGUUUUUGUGUCAUAAUUGCGGGCGAAGCAUGUUUUGUCCGUGUAACUGGGCUUCCGUGUGUGUCCUGCUGAAGCGCAGCGUCUCUCUCUCACAUUUAUCCUCUCAUCUGUUGAGCAAAUGACUGAGAAAAGAGGAACAGAAAGAGGAAGAAACACAGUCUUGAGCAAGACUCUUCUCAGAAUCUCACUGUCCUCUUGUGUUUUUCAGAAAGGAGACGGAGACAUCUAUCAGGAUCUGGGCCGUCGUGAUCAGGACACCUACGACACUCUUCAUGGGAUGAAGAAAAAGCCUCUGGCCUGAAGCUGUUCCUGAGAACGCCGGCCUGCUCUGUUCAUAAUGAAGCUUCGUUAAUCUCUGUCCUCGUCAUCAGCAUGUGUCUUUGAGACAGACGUCAUGGUUAAUCUGUAAAAUAUGUGUGUAAGGCUCUUUAUGCUAACAUAAUAAAAUUAUAUUUCUAACUA
This is a long non-coding RNA of Megalobrama amblycephala (Wuchang bream), 565 nucleotides long. RefSeq lists it as uncharacterized. The transcript is spliced from 2 exons. The record is from RefSeq and is a predicted model, not a curated record. Lineage: Eukaryota; Metazoa; Chordata; Actinopteri; Cypriniformes; Xenocyprididae.